GGAUGGGUGGCCGAGUGGACUAAGGCGGCAGUCUUGAAAACUGCUGUACGGGAAACCGUACCGGGGGUUCGAAUCCCUCCCCAUCCG
Molecule: transfer RNA, 87 nt
Filed under: Planctomycetaceae bacterium
Lineage: Bacteria; Pseudomonadati; Planctomycetota; Planctomycetia; Planctomycetales; Planctomycetaceae
Also listed under: 1 other name
Description: tRNA-Ser
Rfam family: tRNA
About the family: Transfer RNA (tRNA) molecules are approximately 80 nucleotides in length. Their secondary structure includes four short double-helical elements and three loops (D, anti-codon, and T loops). Further hydrogen bonds mediate the characteristic L-shaped molecular structure. tRNAs have two regions of fundamental functional importance: the anti-codon, which is responsible for specific mRNA codon recognition, and the 3' end, to which the tRNAs corresponding amino acid is attached (by aminoacyl-tRNA synthetases). tRNAs cope with the degeneracy of the genetic code in two manners: having more than one tRNA (with a specific anti-codon) for a particular amino acid; and 'wobble' base-pairing, i.e. permitting non-standard base-pairing at the 3rd anti-codon position.
Source: RNAcentral